UGGGGAAUUUUGGACAAUGGGCGAAAGCCUGAUCCAGCAAUGCCGCGUGCAGGAUGAAGGCCCUCGGGUUGUAAACUGCUUUUGUACGGAACGAAAAGCCUGGGGCUAAUAUCCCCGGGUCAUGACGGUACCGUAAGAAUAAGCACCGGCUAACUACGUGCCAGCAGCCGCGGUAAUACGUAGGGUGCAAGCGUUAAUCGGAAUUACUGGGCGUAAAGCGUGCGCAGGCGGUUUUGUAAGACAGUGGUGAAAUCCCCGGGCUCAACCUGGGAACUGCCAUUGUGACUGCAAAGCUAGAGUGCGGUAGAGGGGGGAUGGAAUUCCGCGUGUAGCAGUGAAAUGCGUAGAUAUGCGGAGGAACACCGAUGGCGAAGGCAAUCCCCUGGACCUGUACUGACGCUCAUGCACGAAAGCGUGGGGAGCAAACAGGAUUAGAUACCCACGUAGUCCCUGAGCGGGCUGGCAAGGCGCAU
Molecule: ribosomal RNA, 473 nt
Filed under: uncultured bacterium
Lineage: Bacteria
Description: bacterial SSU rRNA
Rfam family: Bacterial small subunit ribosomal RNA
Source: RNAcentral